Molecule: small RNA, 530 nt
Filed under: Pongo abelii (Sumatran orangutan)
Lineage: Eukaryota; Metazoa; Chordata; Mammalia; Primates; Hominidae
Description: processed transcript
Source: RNAcentral
ACUCACCUGUCCCAUUCUUCCACGCCCUGAGGGCCGCGGCUCUGGAAACGGGGAUACAGGAGCCUGGCGGCGCCGAAGCACCCGCGCAGGCCAAGACGGCUCCCCAGGCCCCACACAGCCAUGAGCCAGGCUGCUUGACGGGAGCUGACCCCGCCAGGUUCCCGUCCAAUCCCCGGGGUGACUCCACCCACAACUGGCCGCGCCACCCCUCAGGAUUCCCAGGAGCCAUGUUGUCAGAAGUCCUACUGGUGUCUGCUCCGGGGAAAGUCAUCCUUCAUGGAGAACAUGCCGUGGUACAUGGCAAGGUAGCACUGGCUGUAGCCUUGAACUUGAGAACAUUCCUCCGGCUUGAACCCCACAGCAAUGGGAAAGUGGACCUCAGCUUACCCAACAUUGGUAUCAAGCGGGCCUGGGAUGUGGCCGGGCUUCAGUCACUAGACACAAGCUUUCUGGGUGGACCAGGGAGGAUUUGGAGCUAAUUAACAAGUGGGCCUUCCAAGGGGAGAGAGUGAUUCACGGGAACCCCUCCG